Molecule: long non-coding RNA, 4938 nt
Filed under: Sus scrofa (pig)
Lineage: Eukaryota; Metazoa; Chordata; Mammalia; Artiodactyla; Suidae
Description: lncRNA (ENSSSCG00015066162.1)
Source: RNAcentral
UUGAAAAGUUAAAAUUUCCUUAAUUUUUUAUUCCUGGUACCACUACCACAGGUUCGAUCCCUGGCCUUGGUCAGUGGGUUAAGGAUCCAGCGUUGCUGUGAGCUCUGGUGUAGGUUGCAGACAUGGCUUGGAUCUGGUGUUACUGUGGCUCUGGUGUAGACUGGUAGCAGCGGCUAUGAUUAGACCCCUAGCCUGAGAACUUCCAUAUGCUGUGGGUGGGUCCCUAAAAAGAAAAAAAAGACAAAAAAGAAAAAAAGAAAAAGAAAAACCUUGUUAAAGGCAAAUAAAGUCUCUAAUUAAAGGAAAAAAAAAGAAUAAGCUACAACAGAUAAAAGACCUCAGGAAUGUACACUAAUUGACACUACAUUGCAUUAAUCAGUAGCUGCACUUUUGGAAACUGUGACCAUGACAGGCCUGAACAAGAAGGGUUUCUUGUUUAAACUGCAGUAACUUUUCUGACCAUGGAUCAUCGUUCCUUCUGUGGCAGAUUUUUAUAGUUCCUCUAAUGCAUUUGGGAUAUCUGUCUCAAAGUAACCUGCAGCUUUCCUGACAACUCCUCACUCUCUCUCCUGCUAAGAACUGUAGCCCUUUUCUGCUGAGUUUUUAGAAUCUUCUGCUACCAUAUCUACCACUUGUCCCACCAGAUCCAUAACCACCAUCAUAGGAACUGCCCAAGUUUCUUCCACCAAAACUGCCAUCCUUCAUGGGUCCAUAAUUUGGUUGUUAUUGUCCACUAUAAUUUCCAAAAUCAUUGUAGUUCUCACCACCACCACAGUUACCUCCAAAAUUUCCUCCUUCAUUGAAACCAUCAUAUCCUCCACCACCGCCACCAUAUCCACCACCUUGAUUUCCAUAUCCUGGUCCACCACCACCAUAUCCUGGUCCUACUAUAACCAGGACCACCACCAUAGUUGCCACCAUCAUCUCCUCCAUAACUACCUCUGCUGCCACCACUUCCACCAACAUAACAUCCUCUUCCACCAAAGUUUGCACCAUGGCCAAAGUUGCCUCCACCACUUCCAGAGUUUCAUCCACAACCAAUAAAGUUGCUAGAUCCACCUCCAUGACCUCUCUGUGAUGUGGCAGACUGCAUUUCUUGUUUAGAAAGGGCCUUUUUCACUUCACAAUUGUGCCCAUUUAUAGUGUGGUAUUUCUGAAUAACAGUUUUAUCAACUGUAUCAUGAUCAUCAAAAAUUACAAAACAAACCCUCUCUUUUUCCCACUCUGCCUGUCUUCCAUAACUUCUAUGGUUUCAAUCUUGCCAUACUUUUCAAAGUAGUCUCUCAAAUGGUAUUCUUCUGUAUCUUCUUUAAUAUCGCCAACAAAAAUUUCCUUCACUCUUAGAUGGGCAGCAGGCUUUACAGAGUUCUCUCUAGAAACAGCUCUUUUUGGUUUCACUACACGCCUGUCAAUUUUUGUGGUUGAGCACACAUUGCUGCAUCUACCUCUUCAACACAGGAGUCAGUCAUAAAACCAAAGCCCCUAGAAUGUUUUUUUUGGGGGGUCUCUCAUCACCAUACAAUCUGUAAGUGUGCUCCAUUACUCAAAAUGUUCUCUUAAACUAUCUUCUGUAGUUUCAAUGCUCAGACUACCAAUAAACAGUUUUCUCAAUUGCACUGGUUCCUUUGGAUCAUGACCCUCCAUUUUGAGACCAAACUCACCUCUUCCAACUCAAGUUCAGUUGUUAUGAUAACAUCUUAAACAGCAGAAGCUGUAGUGGAGGGGACAGGGAAAGAGAUUUGUAGUGUAACUUAUGCCUCUGCUCCACUUGCAGGAUCAAUUUCUCAUUGCUUAUGAGCAACAAAAAUUGCCUUUGGCUAAUAGAAUAGGGGGAUUUAUGGAUAGAUCCUGGGUAAGCUCACCAAAGUGAAGGAAGGUGGAAUAAUGAAGCCUUGGGAAGACCAGAGAAAGCACCUUCUAGGAUCACAUCGAUCUGUGGGGCUAACUCAGCCUUAGCCAGUUUACCUCCUUGUGCACAGUGUCUUGUUGGUCAGCCUGAGCCUACCCCAGAAGUGAGCCAUUGUUUGAUGUCCCUGUCAGACUUUGGGAAUGAGGCAGAGAAACUCUCCAAAGGAAAAGUGAGGUGGUGUUGCCAGAAGACCAAGACCAAGAUAUUUCCUACAGAGUUCAUAGGAUCUGGCAGUGUGGCGAUCUCUUGGUGAGCUUGAUGUAAACAGUUUUAGGAAUAAAAAGUAACAAGGACUUGAAGAGUGGAUGGGAAGUGAGGAAGAAAGGACCAUGAGUAUAAACUGCUUUGGAAACAAAUCUGACUAGGAACCAUGGGGUUGCGGGUUCAAUCCCUGGUCUCACUCAGUGGGUUAAGGAUUGAGCAUUGCCAUGAGCUGUGGUGUAGGUCACAGAUGCAGCUUGGAUCCUGUGUUGCUGUGGCUGUGACAUAUGCCGGCAUCUGUAGCUCCGACUGGACCCGUAGCCUGGGAACCGCCACAUGCUGCAGGUGCGGCCCUAAAAAGCAAAAACAAACAAACAAAACCCCCCAAAAUUAUAAAAAAUUUUGAAAAAUCUUUUAAAUGGAAAAAUAUGAAUAAUGUUUUGAUAUAGCACUAACAGAGAAGGAAAAAUUAAUAAUAUGUGAGAGAAAGGAUAUAUUUCUAUAACAAGAUUGCUAAGAUGUGAGAGUGAUAGAGUCCAGAACAAAGGUAGAAGGUUUAGUGGAACUAUUAGGGAAGGUUUUAUAGAAGAGUAUAAGUUUGCACUGGGCUCUAAAGAAUUAAUAGGAUUUGGAUAAGCAGAGCAAAGUGGAAAGGUUUUGUCAGUGGAAAAACAGCAUAGACAUAGGGAAAAACAAACAAACAAACUCUAGCUGAUAAGGAGUCUGAGUUGGGGAAGAGGGAGAAGUAGCUGACAUGAUUGGCUGUAUAACCCUGCUCUUGUGUGGGUUGUACUAUGUGCGAGUGGAUGCAUGAGCCCCACCAGUGAAGAAGGCAAUGUGAGCUGGAGUCUUGAAAGUUUGGACCCACAAGUUUGGAUUUGAUGCAGUAGAUAUUGGGAAAUGUUACUGUAGGUUCUGGAGCAGGAGAGGCUCAUGAUGGAAUACAAUGGAAAGACAGUUGAAACAUUCGAGUAUAAAACCAUUGAAGAAUAGGGAAAAGACUGGGAGCAAAAGGCUAUUAAGAGCCACAUACGUGUAAAAUGAGGAAUCUUUUAAGGUGGUAGAAACAAGCAUGAGGAAAUGAACAUUUUGGGGAAAAGUUGAUAGGAUUCAGUGAGAAGAGCUGAAGAUUAUUUUUGGAUUGAGAGCCGCAUUGAAGUUUUGGUGUCAUUGAUAAAAUGAAGAAAUUAGAAGUAGAUCUCUUAAGAGGCAAAGCCAUUUAACAUGUUGCCAACAGACCUGUUCGUUGUUUUGUUGUUGUUGUUGUUGUUAUUUUGCUUUUUAGGACCACACCUGCAGCAUAUGGAAGUUGCCAGGCUAAGGGUCAAAUCAGCUAUAGCUGCUGGCCUACACCACAGCCACCGCAACACCAGAUCUGAGCUGAGUCUGUGACCAACACCACAAAACAUGGCAACACUGGAUUCCCAACCCACUGACUGAGGCCAGGGAUUGAACCCUUGUCCUCAUGGAUACUGGUUGGGUUUGUUACAGUGGAGCCUCGAUUGGAACUCCUCUGAUUUUGAAAUGAGUGGUUCUGAAGAGAGCUUUGCCUAUCCUAAGAUUUGUAACAAUAUCAGUGUUGAAUAGGUAGCUUUAUUAUAAAAACAUAACAGCUUUUACACAGAAACAAUUUGAAACAUUGUAGGGAAAAAGCAAAUAGAAAAAAGCGUCUGCCUGGGAGGUCAAGGUGAGAGAAAGACAACAGUUUGUGUUAGAGAAAAAUGAUGCAUCUCUGGAGAAGAGGAGGGCAACCUGGGAGAGAGAAUUUCAAGAAAGGGGGGAGAUCAGCCUCAAAUCCUGCAGAGAGAGAAGACAGAGAAAAAAACCUUUUAUAUGGUGAAAGGUAAUCCCUGACCUCUAAGAAAGCAGUUUCAGUUGGCAGGAGCAAUCGGAAGGCACACUGCCAUGGGUUUAGGAGGGAUUGGCUAGUGAAGGAAAGGUGAGAAGUUUCACAGGAACAGGAGGAAAAUAUGGAAUGUUAGGAAAGGCAAUAGAGUCUUGUUUAAUAUUAGGAAACUUUGUAUGUUGGAAGCAAGAGAGAAAUGGGUAUGGAGGAAAUAAAGUGCUAAAGAGGGAAGAAUCAAGUAUAGAAUCCCUCUCCACCAGAGGCAGGGUUAGCUUUAGGAUGUUCUGGUAGGCUGAAUGAAUAGAUUUAUAGACAGAGGUCUGUUGUGAUACAUGUGGGAUCCAGUUAAGGAACUUGAUCCAAUUUCAUCUUUCCAGAGAAUUAGGGAGGAAAUGGAAGAAAGGCAGCUGAAGAGUACCAGCUCUUGCCAGUACCAGACACUUUGCUUGAUCUAUUAAAUAUAUGAUCAUGUAAAUUCAUAACAAUUCUUUGAAGGGUUUGUGAUAAUCUCCCAGUUUUAAAAGUGAGGAUGCUAAGGCUUCAAGGCAUAGUUAUCUUAAAACCAAAGAGCUAGUAAAUGUCCACUUCAGGAUUUGAUCCUCAGUCUUAUAUCAAAGGUUAGUCCCACCCCACUCUAGCAUUCGUUCAUUCAUAUGAGGUAAAGAAUAUGGGGGGCUUGAGAGGAGCUGUGUUACUGAUGACAGUGGCUAUGCCUCAGAAUCACUUUAGGGGCUUUAAAAAAUUCCCCACAGUUGGAGUUCCCAUUGUGGCUAAGUGGGUUAAGAACCCAGCUAGUACCCAUGAGGACGUGGGUUCAAUCUCUGGCCUUGUUCUGUGGGUUAAGGAUCCAGCGUUGCCAAGAGCCAAGUCAUAGGUCAUUGGUGGCUCAGAUCCCGAGUUGCUAUGGCUAUGGCGUAGGCUGGCAGCUGUAGCUCUUAUUCCACCCCUAGCCUGGGAAUGUCCAUACGCUGCAGGUGUGGCC